Molecule: long non-coding RNA, 336 nt
Filed under: Gallus gallus (chicken)
Lineage: Eukaryota; Metazoa; Chordata; Aves; Galliformes; Phasianidae
Source: RNAcentral
CCUAAAGAUGAAAGAAGCAUAGGAUGGGUUGGGCUGGAAGGAACCUUAAAGAUCACAGAACAAUAGGAUGGGGUGGAAGGGACCUCAAAGCCCACCCGGUUCCAACAGCUGCCCCAGAGCAGAGUUACUCUCCUACAAGUUCCACUUCAGGCCCAGCUAUGGGAAGGACACACCGCCAUCGGGCAGUGCCAGCACCUUAAAAACAAGCGAAGCACAGAGAGCGACGAACGGAAAGAGAGGUGGUGGAGAGCCCUUUACCCUGUCAUAUUUGCUCGUCCAUCUCAAGGACAGCUGACAGCGAAGCAUCAGGUCUGCACUCCUUGUGUUUGCUCUCAG